GAUGAACGCUGGCGGCGUGCUUAACACAUGCAAGUCGAACGAAGCACUUUAUUUGAUUUCCUUCGGGACUGAUUAUUUUAUGACUGAGUGGCGGACGGGUGAGUAACGCGUGGGUAACCUGCCUUGUACAGGGGGAUAACAGUUGGAAACGGCUGCUAAUACCGCAUAAGCGCACAGCAUCGCAUGAUGCAGUGUGAAAAACUCCGGUGGUAUAAGAUGGACCCGCGUUGGAUUAGCUAGUUGGUGAGGUAACGGCCCACCAAGGCGACGAUCCAUAGCCGACCUGAGAGGGUGACCGGCCACAUUGGGACUGAGACACGGCCCAAACUCCUACGGGAGGCAGCAGUGGGGAAUAUUGCACAAUGGGCGAAAGCCUGAUGCAGCGACGCCGCGUGAGCGAAGAAGUAUUUCGGUAUGUAAAGCUCUAGCAGCAGGGAAGAUCAUGACGGUACCUUACUAAGAAGCACCGGCUAAAUACGUG
RNAcentral lists this ribosomal RNA (481 nucleotides) under uncultured bacterium. Its description in RNAcentral is "partial 16S ribosomal RNA". It matches the Rfam family "Bacterial small subunit ribosomal RNA", at positions 28 to 507 of the family's 1533-position model. The record is from RNAcentral.